Molecule: unclassified non-coding RNA, 343 nt
Filed under: soil metagenome
Description: partial contains 5.8S ribosomal RNA, internal transcribed spacer 2, and large subunit ribosomal RNA
Rfam family: 5.8S ribosomal RNA (bases 1-120)
Source: RNAcentral
GAUGAAGAACGCAGCGAAAUGCGAUAAGUAAUGUGAAUUGCAGAAUUCAGUGAAUCAUCGAAUCUUUGAACGCACAUUGCGCCCGCUAGCAUUCUGGCGGGCAUGCCUGUUCGAGCGUCAUUUCAACCCUCGAGCCCCCCCGGGGGCCUCGGUGUUGGGGGACGGCACACCAGCCGCCCCCGAAAUGCAGUGGCGACCCCGCCGCAGCCUCCCCUGCGUAGUAGCACACACCUCGCACCGGAGCGCGGAGGCGGUCACGCCGUAAAACGCCCAACUUUCUUAGAGUUGACCUCGGAUCAGGUAGGAAUACCCGCUGAACUUAAGCAUAUCAAUAAGCGGAGGA